GAAGCGGCAAGAGCUCAAAUUUGAAAUCUGGCCCCUUGGGGGUCCGAGUUGUAAUUUGCAGAGGAUGCUUCGGGUGCGGUCCCCAUCUAAGUGCCCUGGAACGGGCCGUCAUAGAGGGUGAGAAUCCCGUCUGGGAUGGGCGGCCGCGCCCGUGUGAAGCUCCUUCGACGAGUCGAGUUGUUUGGGAAUGCAGCUCUAAGCGGGUGGUAAAUUUCAUCUAAAGCUAAAUACUGGCCGGAGACCGAUAGCGCACAAGUAGAGUGAUCGAAAGAUGAAAAGCACUUUGAAAAGAGAGUUAAACAGCACGUGAAAUUGUUGAAAGGGAAGCGUUGUCCACCAGACUCGCCCGGGGGGGUUCAGCCGGCACUCGUGCCGGUGUACUCCUCUCCGGGCGGGCCAGCAUCGGUUUGGGCGGCUGGUGAAAGGCCCCGGGAAUGUAACACCCUCCGGGGUGCCUUAUAGCCCGGGGUGCCAUGCAGCCAGCCUGGACCGAGGCCCGCGCUUCGGCGAGGAUGCUGGCGUAAUGGUGGUCAACGGCCCGUCUUGAAACACGGACCAAGGAGUCUAACAUCUAUGCGAGUGUUCGGGUGUCAAACCCGUCCGCGCAGUGAAAGCGAACGGAGGUGGGAGCCCCCCCGGGGUGCACCAUCGACCGAUCCUGAUGUCUUCGGAUGGAUUUGAGUAAGAGCAUAGCUGUUGGGACCCGAAAGAUGGUGAACUAUGCCUGAAUAGGGCGAAGCCAGAGGAAACUCUGGUGGAGGCUCGCAGCGGUUCUGACGUGCAAAUCGAUCGU
RNAcentral lists this ribosomal RNA (793 nucleotides) under Penicillium sp. RNAcentral describes it as "eukaryotic LSU rRNA". It matches the Rfam family "Eukaryotic large subunit ribosomal RNA", at positions 95 to 905 of the family's 3401-position model. Lineage: Eukaryota; Fungi; Ascomycota; Eurotiomycetes; Eurotiales; Aspergillaceae. The record is from RNAcentral.